UACGUAGGGUGCGAGCGUUAAUCGGAAUUACUGGGCGUAAAGGGUGCGCAGGCGGCCUCGCAAGUCAGGCGUGAAAUCCCCGGGCUUAACUUGGGAAUUGCGCUUGAAACUAUGAGGCUGGAGUGUGGCAGAGGGAGGUGGAAUUCCACGUGUAGCGGUGAAAUGCGUAGAUAUGUGGAGGAACACCGAUGGCGAAGGCAGCCUCCUGGGCCGACACUGACGCUCAUGCACGAAAGCGUGGGGAGCAAACAGG
This 253-nucleotide ribosomal RNA is filed under the name uncultured bacterium. Its description in RNAcentral is "partial 16S ribosomal RNA". It matches the Rfam family "Bacterial small subunit ribosomal RNA", at positions 524 to 776 of the family's 1533-position model. The record is from RNAcentral.